UGAGUCCUGGAGGCGGGAACGUGGCUGGUUGAGGUUCAAAGACCUGCGCUCUAAUUACCAGCAUAAUUAGAAUAAGAACAUGUUGCUCACUCCAGAGGGGCCCGCCCCGCGCCUCUGCUGCUCUGGGAGAAAGCGUGUUUAAGAAUUCCCAUGGAGUUGCAUGGGAGGAAAAGCGACCCCACGCUGAGCUGCCAACGUGGUUGUCAGCGCGCCCCGUGUGAUUUCGUGCCGCUGUUUUCAAUGCGCUAACGAGGCACGUUAUUCUUAGCCGCGUCCGGGAGGGGAUCACAUUCCUGCGCAGUUGCGCUGCUGGCGGAAGUGACUUGUUUUCUAACGACCCUCGUGACAGCCAGAGAAUGUCCGUUUCUCGGAGCGCAGCACAGCCUGUCCCAUCGAGAAGCCUCGGGUGGACAUGGACUCCAUGGAAGCCUGAGCUGCCAGGGGCUUCCCUGGGGCAGCACUGCUUCGCGUAGGCUCACGAGAAACUUCCAGGGUUCCUGGCGCCAGCCUUUCAACAGAGCAGCACAUUAUGCCUGGAUAAGACUCAAAGAGCAGCUUAAUAUCAGGUUCUCUGGGGCUGUAAUCAUCGGUUCAGGAUGGAGCAGACACAGCCGCAGCAAGGCCUCUGUGCAGCCCCCGGUUUAAAACACAUCAACGCAUCCGUGGGCACUUUUGUGAGUUAAAGCUCAACUUACACAUCUGCCUGUAUCCAUAGGAAAUGAAUGAAAAUAAACAAACAAAUUCCUUGCAUUCAACGCAGCGUAAGAAAAAUCACAUCCUGUUCCCCAGUAGCUGAGGAAAGCCGGCUCACGAGAGUAUACAGGGAGAAGAGGCCAGCAUUGUGUGGCUGCCAGCAAAGCUCACUUGUAUGUCAAAUGCAGCGCUUUUCUUAGCCCAUUAUGUAUUUUUUUUUUCUUGAACACUCCUGUGUCUACUGGGAUCUCCUGUUUUUAUUGUUUUGGGAUGAGAUUUUAAAAACACCAUUUAAUGUAGCCUGUGUGCUCUUGUUCAUUAAACCAAAAAGAAACCCUGGAUCACGGCACAGGAGACUCUCCUCCCCGUUCUCUAGGGAUGCGCCCUCAUGGGGAAACCCUCUUUUCUCAUUAUUUUUGAUGGUGUGCUCUAACAAGACGAUCUGGAGGAAACUCCAUGUUCACAGGACACAUUCCUGCAACGUGGCUUGAAGGGCCCACACCAGGGUUUGGCUCAUCCAUGUCGCAAACUAGAGGGGAGGAGGGUGCUGGCUAUUUCCCAUCUGCAGUCUCAGUUUCCCCACCAGAGGACUGGAGGGAGUACUUGGGUGGGCUGUGAUGCAAUCCCGGCACGAACCCCCCAGCACUGGCAUUGGAGUCGGAGGUUUGGGCAUAGUCGCCAACAUCGCACUUACUUCCAUGCCAGCACCAAGUCUGCGGCUCCCCAGGCCACUCUCACUUCUGACCACAAGUUCAAGGCUCCCACAGCCUCUCUGGGGUCCGUAGUUCACUAGAACGACUCGCAGAACUCAGAAAAGCUCUGUCCUCACAACUGCAGCCCUACCACCGAGGCCACGCUGAGGACCCAGCAGCGGAGACGCAUCCAGGGCCGGUCGAGAUCAGGAGGGUCCCAACCUGGGGUUCCCGGGCCCUCUCCCUGUGGAAGGGGGCAGGGGGCACUUCCCCUCCCGCACGUCUGCGAGUUCUCACCGGGGCCUCCUUCUGUAGGGAUCACUGCCCAGGUGAUGAGCUCCUUCUCAAGCCUCCUCCCUUUUGGGAGGUCAAAGUUCAGCUAUACCAUGCGGCCCCACCCUGUAAUUGCAUAGUUGGCCUUUCUGGUGUGGCCAGCCCCAUGCAGACCCUAAGAUGCCUAGGGACCUCCUUGAGUAACAAAUUCCCAUCACUCAGGAAAUUCCGCAGGCUUAGAUGUUACCUCCUAGGAACCCAGGACAAAGACCAG
Molecule: long non-coding RNA, 1932 nt
Filed under: Homo sapiens (human)
Lineage: Eukaryota; Metazoa; Chordata; Mammalia; Primates; Hominidae
Description: HSALNT0375305
Source: RNAcentral